This 540-nucleotide transfer RNA is filed under the name uncultured cyanobacterium. RNAcentral describes it as "partial miscellaneous RNA". The stretch from base 212 to 284 matches the Rfam family "tRNA". The record is from RNAcentral. Lineage: Bacteria; Bacillati; Cyanobacteriota.
CAGGGAGACAACAAAAUGUUUAAUAUUAUUAUUUUGUCACCUUAGGUCGAUCGGUAUCUCACGUUCUUAAUUAAUUAAGGAUUUCAUUUCCUAAGUUUUUCUAGGUCACACCCAUCAUUUUUCCUGGGCCAUUAGCUCAGGUGGUUAGAGCGCACCCCUGAUAAGGGUGAGGUCCCUGGUUCAAGUCCAGGAUGGCCCAUAUCUCUAUGUUGGGGGUAUAGCUCAGUUGGUAGAGCGCCUGCUUUGCAAGCAGGAUGUCAGCGGUUCGAGUCCGCUUACCUCCACUGAUUACCACCUCUUCCAUAAUAUUGGAUAAAGGAAAUUUUUUGAGUUGUGAUCAAAUUCUGAACGAAUCUAGCUUCCUAAUAUGAGUAUUAAGAUGCUGGAUUCAUUGAAUUACUUCAUUGUUUUCAGAGAACCUUGACAACUGCAUAGAUUAUUUUUAAAGACAAUAAGCAUCUUUGAUGAUGCAGAUUUAUUAUUUGUGCGAAUGCAUUAAUAACAAUUCUAUUAAGCUGAUGCUUCAAUUUUGAAGUUAUU